This 601-nucleotide small RNA is filed under the name human gut metagenome. The record is from RNAcentral.
AUGCAAAUAAGGUGGUGCAGUAUUCUAGUCGGCAAAGCUGGUUCUCAAAACGGGGAUAAAAGACCGUAGAAGGGCAUAUCGAUGAAGUUCCUGGUGGUGGCUUCGGACGCCCAGUCGGGGGUUGCUGCUGGGGGAUAAGGAAGAAGGGCGAUCUGCAAUGGCAUGCAGGCGAUGACCCAGCUUCCGCGGAGACCCAAACGGGUGUGAAACAUCGCGUGAUCACUCCUUGGGGUAAAACCUGUGAUGCGGUAAUAAUAACUGUGUACAGCGUAGCCUGCCUUGCGUGGCGCGGGGGGAUUUCAGGAAUACGUGCCCGGAUGCACAGGGCCCGUGCAUCGGACAUGAUCGCCGGAUGAAACCUGAGCUGCAAAAGAGGCUAGGAACCAGUGGCGUUGUUGAGGAAAGCUCCUAGACUGUCAACAGGCAAUUUGGGGAUUAUAGUGUGGACUUAGUGGUAAUCUAGUCCCGCCGCGUGGCGACACGGCGGCGUCUGCUUUCAAGGGAAACCGCUCUUUUCGGCGACGGGGAGUAGCAGACGGGGAAAACCUACUAGACCUGAAGCCGCAAGGUUUACUCAUUUUGCCACCACCUUUUUUUAUUU